This is a small nuclear RNA of Cynocephalus volans (Philippine flying lemur), 108 nucleotides long. The record is from RefSeq and is a predicted model, not a curated record. Lineage: Eukaryota; Metazoa; Chordata; Mammalia; Dermoptera; Cynocephalidae.
GUGCUCGCUUCGGCAGCACAUAUACUAAAAUUGGAACGAUACAGAGAAGAUUAGCAUGGCCCCUGCACAUGGAUGGAUGAAAAAAUCUUCCAGGCAAAGGGAACAGUA